RNAcentral lists this ribosomal RNA (253 nucleotides) under uncultured bacterium. RNAcentral describes it as "partial 16S ribosomal RNA". It matches the Rfam family "Bacterial small subunit ribosomal RNA", at positions 524 to 776 of the family's 1533-position model. The record is from RNAcentral.
UACGAAGGGGGCUAGCGUUGUUCGGAAUCACUGGGCGUAAAGCGCACGCAGGCGGAUCGAUAAGUCGGGGGUGAAAGCCCGGGGCUCAACCUCGGAAUUGCCUUCGAUACUGUCGGUCUCGAGUCCGGGAGAGGUGAGUGGAAUUCCUAGUGUAGAGGUGAAAUUCGUAGAUAUUAGGAAGAACACCAGUGGCGAAGGCGGCUAACUGGCCCGGUACUGACGCUCAGGUGCGAAAGCGUGGGGAGCAAUCAGC